GGGGGGGGGGGGGAGGGGGAUGUUCUUUGAGCCGGAAUGGUGUGGAUUUAGUCCAUCCUAGAUGAGGCCAUCUCUUGUCCCAGGCUGCAGGCGCCAGGUCAGCAAGCCUCCUGCCCCGUAAGGGCAGCAGAAAGAACUUCACACGUCUCCAUCAGCUGAAUGGCUCAGUCUUCCUAGGCUGCUAUUUCUCUAGAUGAAAACACAGAUACACCAAAUGUUGUCUGCGAAUACACCUGGGGAAACAACCGUUCUGUGAUGUUUAAGAAAAAAAAAAAACAAAACAAACCCAAACGAGUCACCACGCCAAAGAAACACCCCGCAAAUGACAUCCGUGAGGUACAAAUAGCGGCAUCGCUAGCAAAGGCUCAUGCAGAAGCUUACCUUGAGACCUUAGAAGCUUCUUCCAAAAUUGUACCCUCCUUAAUGAGUGAUGAGGGAUGGGUUUUGGAUGGAGAAGAGACGCAAUGAUCUAGCCAGUAGAUGGAGGUUGUUCCUUGUUCCUAGCAGAGGAUCCCUAUGUUAAUUAAAAUAAACAAGCUGCUUGGUGGAAA
Molecule: long non-coding RNA, 551 nt
Organism: Pezoporus flaviventris
Lineage: Eukaryota; Metazoa; Chordata; Aves; Psittaciformes; Psittacidae
Exons: 2
Source: RefSeq, a predicted model, not a curated record